GAGAGAAAAGGGUUAAUGUCACCUGUGGAAAGGGCUCAGGAUCAGCAAUUCUAGAGGUAGAGCCUCAGGCUGAUGAACUAUUCCUAAUGCAACGGUACCACUGUGAUUUUUGACCUCAGGCGAACCCAGCAUCCACUACUGAUGGGCACAAAACCGCACAAGAGGACUUCCUAGCAGGCACCAAGGAGAGCAGUCUUAGGCUAGGAACAGACAUUGUAUUUGUCCCAGGAUAAAUUGUGCCAGUACAAAAAUAUCUCCGGCUGGGUGCGUAUGCACAUUGCCCUUCUAAUCGUGGUUUAGCGAGCGGCUGAAUGCACUGCUACUUUUUUGCCAUUGACUCAGUGACACAAUCCUGUGGUAACUCUACAGACACACUUUGCAAUAUCCUGGGAUAAACUUUUACUAUUUCUUAUUGGGGAAACUUUUUUUUUACGAUUUAUCCCAGGACAACAGAAACAGAUGUCUGUAUGGCUGCACUUUAUCCUGGGGUAAAAUGUUUUAUCUUGGGAUAAACGUGACAUCUGUUUGCAGCCUUAUGGGCUACAGGCAAGCUUCCUUAAAGAAGCUGCACAAGACUAGCAUGGAGAAAGAAACGCUGGAAGGAGCAGUUUGGGGUCCCAUCCUGCUCUUUUUGAAAGCAAAGCCAAAGUUCCCAAGUGAACUGACUCGGACCCACUGGUGUCUGAUCCAAAAGCUUGAGCCUUCCCGUCACACCUGACUUCCAGUGGGAGUUAACCGCUGCUGGUUGCAAAGUGAAUUUGGGAAGGCUGCCCAGUGGUGAAAGCAGAGAAUGGGCAGACAGGAACUCUGGACCCCAUUGUAUAAUCUGGAGACAGCUCGCUUGACCUCCCUCUAUACCUCAGUUGACUCAUCUGUGAACUAGGAACAAUAAACUUACCCACCUCACCGAUAUACUGUGAGGCUUACUAUCUGUAAAGUUGCACCCCCGAAUGAAAGGCUAAACAGAUAUGGUAAUUAUCAUUACUGUUCCUGCUCAUGCUAACUUCUCCCUUUGAUGUCUUGUGUGCAUGAGGAAUUCCAAUACAGGUGUUAUAGCGGUAAGGGCAACGGGAAUAAAAACCUCUCGGUCAGACACAUUUCAUUUUACCCGGCUUGUGUUUUGCCAUGUUACUACUGAGUUACAUCCAAAAAUAACCCCAGAUCCUCUGAAGUGUAAAGCAAAGAACUUUGACCCGACCACUACUGCCAAGACCCAGAACUUAUCGGCUUGAUCUCUACUGAGAUCUGUUCAGCACCUACCAAGCACCAGCCGUGCCUGACAAAUUAAAUCUAGCAACAGUCCCCGGGCGCUCGCGGCUGUACGUCCAUGAACAGAAUUGCCUGCUCGUUAAUCGUGAAACUUGCCCACUGAAUCAGAAACUCCAACUCCCCUUAAUGACACCUCUCUCCUCCAGACUGCUUCCUUCUGAAGACAGCCCAAAGGGUUAAUAAGCCUGAGCUGUGGCAAACCAAGAGGAGAAAGCUGGUGAAAGUUUGCUCAGAGUCAGGGUGGGCAUUGGGACUUUGGUCCGAAAAUACCCAGCCCCUGGUGACCUUCAGAGCAUGCCGGAGUGCUCAUCUUUUUCUCCCAGGCAUUUAAAAACAGAAUGGGGGCAAUCCGGAGGGAAAGAAAUUAUGACGGUGUUCGGAGUGUGGAGUUGGCUGGUAGUGCUGCGUUGUAGUUACUGGUGGAUCCCUGGAUCCUGGAAAGAUUUAAACCCGACCUGCUCUCAGUAGUUUGACUGUGGAUCAAUAGGACUAGUCCCAAUGGAAAAGGCAGUGCAGUCACCUGUCACGAUUCUACCAACAAUAUUUGCUGGAUUUUCGCUUCAAAAUUCUCACCUCUUCUCAAUGAGAUGAGGAUCUCAGCUUUCAUCUAAGCACCAAAAAACCCCAAACUAUAUUUCUAACCCACAGGAUAGCAGAGAAAAGCUGCAAAACACAAAAUGACUGUACUCUAAUGACUCAGAAACCAGGAGAAGUGGAGAGGGGGGAGAAAGAAAUGCACAUUUAUUAUUUAUUUUGAAUCUUGCAAUAUUUCAGGGCUUGGGUUCACACAGGUAUGAAUAUUUGCAAAAUCAGGACCUAACUGCAUUGCAUUUUUGAACCACAACUAGGAGACACACAAUAUGUUAACACCCCCCACCCUUUGGGGGACUCAUACUGUUCUAAAUACCAAAUAAAAUACAGGGUAAAAACUUUUAAAUCCACUGCGCACAGAGAUGCAGAGGCUGGUUAUUAUGAAAUGUAGUUAAAUGACCUGGAUUUUGUUGCUUUUUUUUUUUUUUUUUGCACAGGCAAGGACCCCAAAUCUAAAGAAAACACUUGUAUGUUGAAAAAUCCACUUGGAACACAAACUUGGUCACAGCGCUGCUCGAAAAUAAUGAGAUAUUCUAAUGCCGCAUUUGGAAUAACCAUCCAACGACUUCUUCAAUUCAUUUGUUAUUCUGGAUCCUUCCACUUGUCAAAGGAAAACAAAACAAAACAAAAUAUCGAUUUCUUACUUUCUCUCUUGAAUGCAGUUUGAAAAACAAAACUGCUCAGAAUUAAAGUGAAAGCAACGCAGCAAAACGAGAAAAAAAAUGACAGUCAUGUGGUUAUACCAAAAACACCGUUGUCCCCUAUCCUGCAUUCUCAAAGCACUGAAGAUUUCUUCCAGGUUUAAUCAGAUUUGGGGUACACAGUGCCUGGAAUGAUGACCUCAUUAGAUCCAGCAGAUUCCAAACUGGACACCUUCCUGAAUUUCAGAGCCUUUAAUAAAUGCUGCCUAAUUAUAUUGGUGACUUUUUCAAUGAGAGCACUUUAAAGAAGCCCUCUCCUCCAUACUGACUCCCUUCUAGGGCACCUCUCCUUGCAUUGUGUGUUACACGUGCCUGCGUUUGUACACAGAACAUAGAUUAUUUCAGUUUGAUGCAGAAUCUGACUGGUCACAGCUCAAGAUCCAAUUGCACUAUACAGACAACAACAAAAAGACAUCCUCUGUCUCCGGGACGUGUCAUGCCCCUUUGGCCAAGCACUCCUGACCAAGCUUCUGUGCCCACAUACAACAACCUAGGAUAAUGGGUUUGGUACAGACAACUCUAAGAGGGGUUUAUAAACCACGUCAAAUGAAAGUAAUUUCAACGUGACGGUCCAAGUCUAUUUCAACAAAGCGGAGAAGGGAAGAUCCUGAAAUGCAGAAGAGGUGAGAGCGACCGCAGAAAAGCAGUCAUAAGAAGUGGCACGAACAUGGCACCCUGGUCAUUUGUCACUGCACUGAAUGCUAACGAUCACCUCGGCUCAGUGGAUUUUUCAGAUCACGCUGCUUGUACCGUUUCAUGCCACGUCCUCAACCCCGCAAAGACGUAAGCGUCCGAGUAACUCGGACUUCAAAGGGAGCGCACACGUGAAUCGUUCCUUGCAUGCUGCAGAAUCGGCCCCUUAAUCGUAGCGAACAGUGCUGGAUCAGGGGUUGUGCAGAGUUCCCCAACCAGACAGACGGUCUGGGGAGCCUUGCAUUCAUUUUACAGCAAACAGAGCUGCCCUGUUCCAAACACAAAUCAUUUUAGAGGCGUCUUAUUUGCAGGGGGAGCCAAUGAGAUCAGUGGGACUACUCAUGUGAGUAAAGGAGGCCGUUCUUGAGCAACGGCUAUUCUUUUUCCAGCCUCCUCUCCUUCCCCUGCAUGGGCCUUUCUACUGUUCUUAUCACCUUUGCAUCUCAAGUGAAAUCCUAUUUCACAGGAAUAGCUGCUUGAAUGAAGAUCAUUAACUGGCUCCUACUAUGUCCACAAUGCUUCCCUUUUACACCCUAGCGAAUGAGCUUACCAGCGUAUUUAUGGACCUAUGCGAAUAUUACAGCCUGUUCGAAGUUUUGAACACAAACACUGCCGGGUCCCGAUUCUAACGCUAGUGCUUGUCCAAUCAGCGAAGACAAACAAUGCCACAUGACCUGCCUGCAGUCCACACUAACCACAAUCAGCUCUUAAAUUUUGGACACCCUCUUUGUAAUGUUCGGGGGGGGGAGCCGAGAGGGGAACGAUCUACAGAGCAAAGCUCCUUGGUACGAAGCUAAGAUAGCCCAGUUUGAAUAAAGCAGAGCCGAGAAAAAAGCACUCAUUCACAGAACAAAACUCGUCUAAUCCAUUUUACCCCACCAAUAAUCAGCACAGUUCCCCCUGGCCCCCGUGCUAGGGCUACAACUCCCAGCUGUGGGGAAGCUGAACCCUGAGAGGCUCCUCGGAGCCGGAAUCUGUCCGCACUGGUGGUCCCCAAGUUAUUCUUGGUUCGGGGUCCCUUUGAAGUGGAGGAGAGAGCCAGGCCUCUCGCCCCCUGACCAAGGUGAACUAACAACAGUCUGUGCCGGCUGCAAGGCCAGAAUAAUAAAACCAAUUAUUCCCAUUCUUCAAGGGGCCUCCCGGUACACUGAGAUCCAGAAAUGCUGUGAAUUGCUGUAGUUACAGCCCUUAUUCUUGAGCUGCCCGGUUGUGGCUGGAAACUGAGAGCCUGUCUCACAAGACUUGCCUUCUGCCUUCCUCCGGCAAAAGCAAUCAUUUCACCCCACAUACGGCCAGAUGCUUUCAAUAUGAAAGUCCUCAUCACCUUAAGACGAGGGCUCUCUGGACAGAAACGCGGAGAGCAUUCAUUAUCUACUGUAAAGGGCAGGGACAGCUCUGAAGUUUCACGGCUUUCAUGACUUAGGGAUGGGGAUGAAGAAGGCAAAAACUGCUCACAACUUCACCUCAAUUUUCCACCCAGAGAUCUCCGAUAAGGCAGUAGGCAUUAAUAUCCCCAUUUUAUACAGAGGAAACAGAGGGACCAGGAAGUACCAUGCAGAAGAGCAAUGGCAGAACUGGGAAUAGAGCUGAGAUCUCCAGUGUGACAGGCCAGUGCUCUAAAAACACAGUCCUUGCUGUCCUUAUUUCCUUAAUGGAGUUUUCUAUUAGGAAGGGGUUAACUAGAGCCAGGAUAGAGAGCAUCAGGGUUAAAUCUGCAGUGAGAAACGGCAAAAUAUUUCCAAAGAAUGGUACAUUCAACACAAAAAAAAAAAAGAAGAAAUUCAAGAAAGGGAAUAAAAACAGUUUGCAAAUUCACAUCAAAUUUGGCAAAUAUUUACAAUCCCAAAUAGAGGAAACAUUAAGAGGUCACCAGCUUUCAUUUUGGACAUUUUCAUAACAAAAUGCUUCAUCUUGGAAGCAUUGUCAACACUUUUAAACUGAAUACGGUUCAACGUUUCCUUAGAAAAUGGCAAUUCCCAUUGAACAAAACGACUUUCAAGGGGGGGAAAAAAGGUACUGAACCAAGUUACUUGAAUCCA
This is a long non-coding RNA of Gavialis gangeticus (Gharial), 5293 nucleotides long. RefSeq lists it as uncharacterized. NCBI's taxonomy places the organism in Eukaryota, Metazoa, Chordata, Crocodylia, Gavialidae. The transcript has 2 exons. The record is from RefSeq and is a predicted model, not a curated record.